This is a non-coding RNA of Acanthosepion pharaonis, 111 nucleotides long. The record is from the annotation of a GenBank genome assembly. NCBI's taxonomy places the organism in Eukaryota, Metazoa, Mollusca, Cephalopoda, Sepiida, Sepiidae.
CUGCCAUAUCGCGAUGAAGCAUCAACUCUCUUGUGAUUACCGAAGUUAAGCAACGUUGAGCCUGGCUAGUACUUAGAUGGGCAACUGCUUAGGAAUACCAAGCGCUGUAAG